This is a long non-coding RNA of Mangifera indica (mango), 656 nucleotides long. RefSeq lists it as uncharacterized. Lineage: Eukaryota; Viridiplantae; Streptophyta; Magnoliopsida; Sapindales; Anacardiaceae. The record is from RefSeq and is a predicted model, not a curated record. The transcript is spliced from 4 exons.
GACCCAAUAUCUACCUAUGCUUAUGCCAUUAACCCAAGCUUCGCCCUUUCCCAUAGAAUUAAGAUUCAAUGCAACAGGAUCGUUGCCUGGUGGUGUGUCAAAUACAGUCUGCGAAUCAGCAUCAAAACAAAAGGCAGUACCUGAUAUCCCCAGUUGUAGUUGGUGAAAUAUUUGUCCUGAACUCUCACACUUCGCAAUCCGGCCACCCUACGCUCAAGUGUUGAUUUUGAAAUGCCAGAAUCUGAGCAAUGGAGAUUUGAGCCUUACCUUAGCUGUAUUGAAGGCUGCAUUUAUGCAAUCUGGUAGGAUGCUUAUUGAUUUUGAAGGCAGUUCAUAAGAGGAAUUCUGAAAAACAACCAUGCUAUUUUUUCUGUCAUCAUUAUUUACUAGAAACGCAGCGCAUUUCCCUGAAUUUCCUUUGAAGACGUAGGCCUGAAAAUGCAGACCCAGAUCAUAAAUCGACCCAAAGGAAAACUUGUAUACUCUCCAGUAAGUAAUGGCUUGGAGCAUAGCUUUAUUGCAGCAUGUAAUUCCUUGAGGUGACCCCAUUUUGGUUCCCUGAUCAAUCCUGAAGUCAUAAACUAAAAAUGUUUAUAUCAUUUUUAAGUGUUUGAAUACAGUUAAAUCAUGAAAUAAGAUUAAACUUUACAGAAACA